CCUGAACGCUGGCGGCGUGGCUAAGACAUGCAAGUCGCACGGGGUAGCAAUACCCAGUGGCGAACGGGAGAGUAAUGAAUCGCUAAUGUACCCCGGACUCUGAGAUAGCUGCCCGAAACGGGCAGGUAAUAUCAGAUGACAUAACCGCACGGCAUCGUGUGGUUCUCAAAGGUCCGCCGGUCUGGGAGCAGGCGAUUUCGUAUCAGCUAGUUGGUGAGGUAACGGCUCACCAAGGCGACGACGCGUAGCCGGCCUGAGAGGGCGGACGGCCACACUGGGACUGAGACACGGCCCAGACUCCUACGGGAGGCAGCAGUGGGGAAUUGUUCGCAAUGGGCGCAAGCCUGACGACGCAACGCCGCGUGGAGGAUGAAGGUCUUCGGAUUGUAAACUCCUGUUGACCGGGAAGAAUAGGCCCUGACCCAACACGUCGGGGCAAUGACGGUACGGUUGAGGAAGCCACGGCUAACUCUGUGCCAGCCGCCGACCGU
Molecule: ribosomal RNA, 491 nt
Filed under: uncultured bacterium
Lineage: Bacteria
Description: bacterial SSU rRNA
Rfam family: Bacterial small subunit ribosomal RNA
Source: RNAcentral